UAUUGGACAAUGGGGGAAACCCUGAUCCAGCAAUGCCGCGUGUGUGAAGAAGGCCUGAGGGUUGUAAAGCACUUUAGGUGGGGAGGAUGGUAGAGCAGGUUAAGAGCUAGUUUUAUUGACGUUACCCGCAGAAUAAGCACCGGCUAACUCCGUGCCAGCAGCCGCGGUAAUACGGAGGGUGCAAGCGUUAAUCGGAAUUACUGGGCGUAAAGAGUGCGUAGGCGGUUGAGUAAGUUAUCUGUGAAAUCCCUGGGCUUAACCUAGGUGGAAAGAUAAACUGCUUACAGAGUGUGGAGAGGAUAGUGAAUUUCCGGUGAGCGGUAAAUGCGAAGUCGAAGAACACCAGUGGCAAGGCGGCAUCUGGCCAACUGCGCUGGCCAG
Molecule: ribosomal RNA, 381 nt
Filed under: uncultured bacterium
Lineage: Bacteria
Description: bacterial SSU rRNA
Rfam family: Bacterial small subunit ribosomal RNA
Source: RNAcentral